RNAcentral lists this long non-coding RNA (578 nucleotides) under Anser brachyrhynchus (Pink-footed goose). RNAcentral's name for it is "lncRNA (ENSABRG00000015541.1)". The record is from RNAcentral. Lineage: Eukaryota; Metazoa; Chordata; Aves; Anseriformes; Anatidae.
CUUGAGGAGAAACAUGCUUUCUCAAUAGUUCUAAUGAAGGAAAAGAAAAUGGGGGUGAGUCUGAAUACAUUGUAUUUACUUGCAGUAUGAUCCCGAUGAAAAAUCUUUCUAAUGGUCAAAUGAUGAUAAGGAAAAAAAGGCAGAGAUUGGGCUGUGAGCGUCUCCCAGCUGUGACUUCCCCUUGCUGCUGGGCACAGAGGAAAUCCAUCAGGUGGCCAGCUGUGAUGGCUUCACUCUUGCAGGAGAUAUUGUCGAGGCACAACUGCAGAAGUUCAAGACUGAGUGAAACAAGACUUUUCAGAGGAUUUCUCUCUCUUACGCAUUCCUAGGGAGUACACGUGGGAAGUAUGAGUAGAGGUGACCCAGAGCAGCUCGCUGACCUCCUUCUCCUAGCAGACAGACGGCAAGCACUUGGCAAACACAGUGCAGAUGCACGGACACAAGAUGUAGAGCCCAGCCUCACUGCCACCAGCCUUGAUGGAUGCUGAUGGGGGGACUCUAUCCUCUAUUGUCAUGGCCCCUCCUUUCCUAGCAGAAAAAAAAAUAAAGAAUUUAUGCUUCAACUAAUGCUAAGGAAA